Molecule: ribosomal RNA, 381 nt
Filed under: uncultured Sphingomonadaceae bacterium
Lineage: Bacteria; Pseudomonadati; Pseudomonadota; Alphaproteobacteria; Sphingomonadales; Sphingomonadaceae
Description: bacterial SSU rRNA
Rfam family: Bacterial small subunit ribosomal RNA
Source: RNAcentral
GUCCGGGCACUUGCUGCUUGGGUGGCGCAGCUAGCAUUAAAUUUCCGCCUGGGGAGUACGGCCGCAAGAAAAAACUAAAGGAAUUGACGGGGGCCUGCCAAGCGGGGGACCAUGUGGUUUAAUUCGAAGCAACGCGCAGAACCUUACCAGCGUUGGACAUGUCCGGACGAUUUCCAGAGAUGGAUCUCUUCCCUUCGGGGACUGGAACACAGGUGCUGCAUGGCUGUCGUCAGCUCGUGUCGUGAGAUGUUGGGUUAAGUCCCGCAACGAGCGCAACCCUCGCCUUUAGUUACCAUCAUUUAGUUGGGGACUCUAAAGGAACCGCCGGUGAUAAGCCGGAGGAAGGUGGGGAUGACGUCAAGUCCUCAUGGCCCUUACACG